This 440-nucleotide ribosomal RNA is filed under the name uncultured bacterium. RNAcentral describes it as "partial 16S ribosomal RNA". It matches the Rfam family "Bacterial small subunit ribosomal RNA", at positions 338 to 795 of the family's 1533-position model. The record is from RNAcentral.
CCUACGAGAGGCAGCAGUAGGGAAUAUUGCUCAAUGGGGGAAACCCUGAAGCAGCAACGCCGCGUGGAGGAUGAAGGUUUUCGGAUUGUAAACUCCUUUUGUUAGAGAAGAUAAUGACGGUAUCUAACGAAUAAGCACCGGCUAACUCCGUUCCGGCAGCCGCGGUAAUACGGAGGGUGCAACCGUUACUCGGAAUCACUGGGCGUAAAGCGCGCGUAGGCGGGAUAGCAAGUCAGAUGUGAAAUCCUAUGGCUUAACCAUAGAACUGCAUUUUAAACUGUUAUUCUAGAGUAUGGGAGAGGUAGGCGGAAUUCGUGGUGUAGGGGUAAAAUCCGUAGAGAUCAAGAGGAAUACUCAUUGCGAAGGCGACCUGCUAGAACAUAACUGACGCUGAUGCGCGAAAGCGUGGGGAGCAAACAGGAUUAGAUACCCCGGUAGUC